RNAcentral lists this ribosomal RNA (664 nucleotides) under uncultured bacterium. RNAcentral describes it as "bacterial SSU rRNA". It matches the Rfam family "Bacterial small subunit ribosomal RNA", at positions 186 to 851 of the family's 1533-position model. The record is from RNAcentral.
CCGCAUGGGGAUAUUUGCUAAAGAUUCAUCGCUGAUAGAUAGGCAUGCGUUUCAUUAGGCAGUUGGCGGGGUAACGGCCCACCAAACCGACGAUGGAUAGGGGUUCUGAGAGGAAGGUCCCCCACAUUGGUACUGAGACACGGACCAAACUCCUACGGGAGGCAGCAGUGAGGAAUAUUGGUCAAUGGGCGUAAGCCUGAACCAGCCAAGUCGCGUGAGGGAUGAAGGUUCUAUGGAUCGUAAACCUCUUUUAUAAGGGAAUAAAGUGUGGGACGUGUCCUAUUUUGUAUGUACCUUAUGAAUAAGGAUCGGCUAACUCCGUGCCAGCAGCCGCGGUAAUACGGAGGAUCCGAGCGUUAUCCGGAUUUAUUGGGUUUAAAGGGUGCGUAGGCGGCCUUUUAAGUCAGCGGUGAAAGUCUGUGGCUCAACCAUAGAAUUGCCGUUGAAACUGGGGGGCUUGAGUAUGUUUGAGGCAGGCGGAAUGCGUGGUGUAGCGGUGAAAUGCUUAGAUAUCACGCAGAACCCCGAUUGCGAAGGCAGCCUGCCAAGCCAUGACUGACGCUGAUGCACGAAAGCGUGGGGAUCAAACAGGAUUAGAUACCCUGGUAGUCCACGCAGUAAACGAUGAUCACUAGCUGUUUGCGAUACAGUGUAAGCGGCACAG